UACGUAGGGUGCAAGCGUUAAUCGGAAUUACUGGGCGUAAAGCGUGCGCAGGCGGUUGUGUAAGACAGAUGUGAAAUCCCCGGGCUCAACCUGGGAACUGCAUUUGUGACUGCACAGCUGGAGUGCGGCAGAGGGGGAUGGAAUUCCGCGUGUAGCAGUGAAAUGCGUAGAUAUGCGGAGGAACACCGAUGGCGAAGGCAGCCCCCUGGGCCAACACUGACGCUCAGGCACGAAAGCGUGGGGAGCAAACAGG
RNAcentral lists this ribosomal RNA (253 nucleotides) under uncultured bacterium. Its description in RNAcentral is "partial 16S ribosomal RNA". It matches the Rfam family "Bacterial small subunit ribosomal RNA", at positions 524 to 776 of the family's 1533-position model. The record is from RNAcentral.